AAACACUAACAACCACCCCCUCUUCCCCACUCCACUUCCGCCACCGCCGCUGCCGCCGCCACUUCGACUCGCGUCCUCGGCCGCGCCGCACCGCGCCGCGCCGCACCACUCCGCGCCCGGGCGGGCCGGGGCCGGCAGCAGGCGGUGGCGGCUCUCCUUUGCGCCCUUCUCCUCAGAGCGACUGCGGAUGUUGCCCUUUUUUCCCGAUCCUGCGGAGCGGCGUUUUCGCUGCGGCACGGGCGGGCCGGCUUUCCGCGGUCUUUAUUUUCCUGGAGGCCGAUCGGAGCGGGGCCCGAGUUCGGUGAUGGUCGUGUGCGUGAGGGGCGCUCAGGCCCGACCCGGCUCGCAGGCCAAGCUCGCUAUCCCAGCUGGUGGUCAUUAGCUUAGGGAGCCGAGCUCGGGGCGGCCAGGUAGAGGACGCCCGCGAUUCGACGGCGACGGUGCAUUUUUUAAAUGGUGUCUCUGCAGUCUGGUGGAUGGAUGUAUCCUACACCUUCUCUCCUGUGGAGAGGCUGGACUCUACGCCCGUCUCUGCGUUAUUUCUGCGGAGGGAAAACGCAACCCGUGGAGAUCCUGCAAUGGCAUGCAUCUGGCCGAGAGGAAAAGCCAAAGUCUUGACCGUGGCCUAAGUACCGCGCGCGGGUGGGGGAGAAGCUGCCCUGACAUUCUUGCAAGCAGGACCUCUGCCCCUGCUAUUCCCUGUGCCGGGCUCUUUUCCCCAAGAAUCCAUAGGGCUUGCUCCCUCACCUUCAGGAUUCUUCUCGGACGUCACCUCGCUCCCCCCCCGAAACUGCAAGUUCCCUGUCCCCCUUUCCCACUUUAUCGUUCAGGCAUUUUACAUAUCUUACGUGUGGAUCUUAUUACCUGUUUUUCCCCCGGUAGAAUGUUAAGCUCCAGGAGGGCAAGAAGUUUUGUUUUUCUCCACUGGGAUUUUGUGGAGAAAAAAAUGUCUAGACUAAUGCCUGACAGACACAGUGGAUGCUUAAUAUUUGGUUAAUGAAUAAAUGGCAAUUAUAAGGGCCCUGACCUCCUCCCUGCACCCCCACAGCCAUUUCUGAACUCUAGCCUUUAAUAUAUACACUUAUAUGCUACAGAGAACCUUAUGAAAGAUUGUGAAAAUGAAAAAAAAUCUAGGAAAAAAUCGAGUUUAUUACAGAGUUCUAGAGAAGUGCACUACUUCUAGACAUCCACCCUCCACAAUACUAGAAGCCCACGAAGUAGUGAUAAUUGUUUUUAGGUUUCUGUAAAUGGGCUUGCUAGAGGACAGUUGAUCGGUAGAUCACAUGAUCAUAUUCAUACUGGGCCACUUAGCUUUGUUCUCUUCCUGAAUCACAGACUACAUUCUUUAUCCCGUUUGCCCUCUUUCUUGCAAAAUACAGGCUAAAUUAAAAGUCUGUGAGAAUUUGGUUGGCCUAGCCCAAAUCCAGCACUACUGGAAAAGUUCAUUCUGCAAGUAUUUAUUGGGCACAAAAUAUGUGCCAAGCACAAUGAUUCAAAAGGUGCAUGUUUCUGAGGCUUUAUAUAAAGGACCACAUAUGGCUACUUUGGUUACUAUUAAGUUAUGCUGUCAAGCAAAGCAAAUACUAGUGAGAUUUAUUUUUAGAGUUUCUUCCUGAAGACAAGACUCAGUGAAAGCUUAGGUCAUGCAGAGUGGAUAUUUUAAUUCACUAUUUAGUUAGUUCAUAACAUUUACUUACCUUUUGAUAGCACUGGAUAUACCAAUAAAUUGAUAAUGAUUUUUCAAAACAAAUUGAGAAUUUUUAUUUCCUAUUAUUGCCUUGGAAAAUAGGCCUUUUAAAUAAGGACUUACACCAGUAUAGAAACUAUGCAAUAAGAUUUUGGCCAUGAAAGUCCAAAUAAUAUUUCAUGUAUUGAAUUUUUUGGAGAAGAAAGUCUUUAUAACCAUUAAUACAAAUAGUUAUAUCUUGUAUAGUAAAUCCGACAGUCUGUUCAUUGUAAGUUUACCCAUUAAUUUUAAGAACAGCUCUAAGUAAUAUACAGAUGGCUCAGAAUAUGUUUUUCAUUCAGUUUCAAAAUAGUAUCAUUUCAGUUUGCUUAAGGAAACACAAUUAUCUUCCUAUAUACUUUCUUAAAUGUUACUGGUAAACUAGUGAUUCUGCAUGUUUAGGGAACAAAAGUCUUGGCAUUAUUGUAGCGUUUAAUUUAAAAUUUUAGAGAUGUUAUUUUUCACCUCCCUCAUUUAUUAAAGACUUACUAGCUGCUAAUUAGCUUUGUGAUAAGCAUCUCUUAAAUACAUUAGUGAAGGAGGAUAGACAAGGUCUCUACCUUUAAGGGUGAAUAUUUUUCUAUUAAAUCAAUUAGUGUUUUGCUUGCCUAAUUUUAAGUAUCCACGUUGAGAUCUUGUGUGGAAUCUCUUAAUCUAAUCUUAGUGUUUUCUUGAUUUGUCUUGUUUCUUGGGUUUUUUGGGGGGGUGGGGUUGCUUAUUUUGAUCAUCACCAUCCAUUUAUUUUGCUUUUACAUUUUUAAAUCUUUAUGUCCCAAAUCAGUUGAUUUAUGGUGGCUUUAUAUUUCAUUGUUAUAUCCUUGAUUUGUCAAUAGUUUGUAGAUAACCCUUAAUCUGACCUAAUAGUGCCCCCUUUAAGUACUGAGUUGCACUAAUUUUAUUUAUUUUCUAUUCCUGGAUAUUCCCAUAUGUAUUCUUGAUCAAUAAAUUGCAUAAGAUUUAAUAAAAUAUUUUAAAAUGGAUUUCAAGGAUUAAAUAUAGAAUGUCAGCAGGAAUUGGUGCAACUCACAAAUUAUGAAUUGUUAUUUUUAAAAAAUAUUUAUCUUCAAAAUACAGUUUGCCAUAAAAUGAUAGAAAUGAAAAAUUUUAGAAAAUCAUUUCCACACUAUUUUAUGCCUACCAGUUGUAUCCUUUGUUAGUGAGACAAUUAACUCUUAACAGGAACAAAUGUUUAAAAGAUAGGAAAAAAGUAAAGAACAGGUAUGUAUAUGUUUUGUAGACUAUUUCAUACUCUACUAAAAUGAUUUCAUAUUUAGGAAGUUGUUACUUUUAGGGUGAUUUUGAUCUUAAGAAACUUUGAUGAAGCGUUCAUUAUAGAUGUUGAUUUGAGUGUGAGCUACAAAAAUAUCAACAGUCUGUAAAUAGGUUCCUGUUAAGUGAAUACCUAAUCAAAUUUGUGAUAGUAUCUAUGAAGGUGUUAUUCAAUGUAUUUUAUCCAUUUUUGUUAAGAUGAUAGAAAUUAAUGGUUUUUCCCCCGUCAAGGACUUUCUUCAUCUUGGCCUUCAAAAACAAGUUUUGUUCUUUCAUUAAUCCUUCUUAUCUCUCUAAGGAUUUUCUCUAAAUUCAUAGAUUUUAUUAUUCAUGCCAUCUACUUACAAUCCUAUGACUUUCCUAUAUUUACAUUUUUGUAUAUCUGUACUUUAUAUUCCUAAAUAAAAGCACCUAAUUAUACUGUAUUACAGGUUACACUGCAUUACAUAGGGUAAGGCCCUUAAAAAAGGCAUUUCUGAAAUAUUUCAAUAUAAUUAUUUAGGGUCCUUAAAUCUUCAUGAAAGCUUAAUCUUAAUGGAACCUACACAUACGCUGAAUGUGAACCGGAAAAUUAAGCUGUACAUGUAUUUUAAUCCUAAACCAGUCUGGAAUAACAGAUUAAAAAUGACUUUAUGUAUGAGGGAAGAAUACAAAAUCCAUUAAAAACUUAACAUCUAAAAUAGGUAUGAAGGGAGUGCUUAUGAUGCUCUUAAAAGCAUCUCCACUAGACCAGUGCUUUAAAACUGGGUCAUGUACCAUUAUGGGUCAUGAAAUUUAGUGGGUUGGGACUAACAUUUUUUAUUUAAAACAGAGGAAAGAAUAGAAUCUGGAUUCUAUAAUAAUAAGCACAUCACACAUGGUAAAGUGUAUUUUUAAGUAAACAUUCGUUCCAUUUUUGCGUGUGCAUGUGCUGAGUUACCAUGUAAACUCUAUUUCUUACUAUGGGUUAUAGGCCCAAAAAAGUAGGUUUUUAAAAAAACCUACAGUUCAGGUUUUUUACUUGUACUGCCCCUCCUUAAAAAAAUGAAGAAUGCUAGAAAAUUCUGCCUAUGUAGUGAGGAAUUUUAGAGGAAGCAGUAGGGUAUUUUAGAGGAGGUUUGAUACUGUUUUCAGAGAGGUGAUCUUAAGUAGGUAAUAAACUAUGUAGAAAUGUUAAAUAUAGUUGAAGUUGUAAAAAAGAAUUUCCUAGUAGAGCUAAAUUUGUUGUGUUUAGAUCUAUGACUAUUUACUUACUUAUUUGUCUUAGUACAUUUUCUAAUCUCAAAUGCUGAAGACAGCAAAAUAGUAAAUAUAAGGCAAAAGAUACGUUUGUUUCCUCCCACCUUCUCUUUAAUCUUAAAGCAAGUGUUUAUUAACUAGUGAUAGGAAUGCAAAGAAAACUGCUACCUUCACACAGCAAUUACAAAGAACAAGUUAUUCUCUGAAAAUGAUAGAAACUCCUCUUCCCUCCGAAAAGUAACAAAACUGUCAAUAAGGCUUUUCUUUCUAGCCCAAGUAAAUAAUUUCCUAAAUAGCUAACCUUCAUUUGCCAUCCAGCUCACUCUAUAUAUUUAAAUAAAUAUACUUAAAAUUGUGUACAGAAUUUAAAAGGGGGAAAUUUUAAAAGCAGAGUAUUGUGUAUAGAAUUUGAAAGAGAGGCGAUAUGCUGUAUAAAUGAGAUGAAAAAUAACUACCAAACAGAAAAUAACGAUUAUGUUAUACUGGAAUGUCUUAAUAGGAUUUAGACAUUUCAAUAAAAUUUAAAACAUUUCAUUA
Molecule: long non-coding RNA, 4750 nt
Organism: Ailuropoda melanoleuca (giant panda)
Lineage: Eukaryota; Metazoa; Chordata; Mammalia; Carnivora; Ursidae
Exons: 2
Source: RefSeq, a predicted model, not a curated record